GAGUAUGCCAGAUUCGCCACAAAUAUAGAGAGUCCAUUGUUCACACAGAUAGUCUCCCCUAUAUUUGCAAGGCGUCGCACAAAUACAAGAUAUAUAACAGGAUACAACCACCAUAACUGAAUAUACAAAUAUUCAUCCAUUCAUACAUUCACACACCAUUCACAUUUAGAGUUUACAAGUAUAAAUCCACAACUAUUAGUUUAAAAUGUUUCCUACCGGAAACUAGUUUUGAAAUACUAAAUCAUGAAAAACUACAAGAAAACCUUUUGAAAGCUAUUUCCCAUACGAAAAUCUUUUUUUUUUAAAAAAACACGCUACCACGAGGGGUAGAAGACCAUUUUUAUUUCACGAAAACUCACAAAUCCUUUACUACAUGCAUGAAAUCCCAAAUUCAAAUGUAAUAAAAUGCUGAACCAUAUAAACUGUCUAAUUCAAUUAUUUAA
Molecule: long non-coding RNA, 443 nt
Filed under: Ananas comosus (pineapple)
Lineage: Eukaryota; Viridiplantae; Streptophyta; Magnoliopsida; Poales; Bromeliaceae
Description: long non-coding RNA (ACOM_LNC009139)
Source: RNAcentral